UACGGAGGGUGCAAGCGUUAAUCGGAAUGUACUGGGCGUAAAGCGCGCGUAGGCGGUUUUUUAAGUCGGAUGUGAAAGCCCCGGGCUCAACCUGGGAACUGCAUCCGAUACUGGAAGACUAGAAUGCGGGAGAGGGAGGUAGAAUUCCAUGUGUAGCAGUGAAAUGCGUAGAUAUAUGGAGGAAUACCAGUGGCGAAGGCGGCCUCCUGGCUCGACAUUGACGCUGAGGUGCGANAGCGUGGGGANCAACCGGU
This 254-nucleotide ribosomal RNA is filed under the name uncultured bacterium. RNAcentral describes it as "partial 16S ribosomal RNA". It matches the Rfam family "Bacterial small subunit ribosomal RNA", at positions 524 to 776 of the family's 1533-position model. The record is from RNAcentral.